GAAUGAUGCAGAGAAGGUUAGCAUGGCCCCAGGGCAAGAAGACACACAAAGUUGUGCAGUGUUACAUGUUUUU
This 73-nucleotide small nuclear RNA is filed under the name Sus scrofa (pig). Lineage: Eukaryota; Metazoa; Chordata; Mammalia; Artiodactyla; Suidae. The record is from RNAcentral.